Molecule: non-coding RNA, 85 nt
Organism: Tuber magnatum (white Piedmont truffle)
Lineage: Eukaryota; Fungi; Ascomycota; Pezizomycetes; Pezizales; Tuberaceae
Source: the annotation of a GenBank genome assembly
GGUCUCGUGGUGUGGUUGGUAUUACAUUUGACUGUCAUGUUCAGUUCACUGUUCGUCACCAGUUCGACUCUGGUCAAAGGGACCU